RNAcentral lists this unclassified non-coding RNA (2663 nucleotides) under Hevea brasiliensis (rubber tree). The record is from RNAcentral. Lineage: Eukaryota; Viridiplantae; Streptophyta; Magnoliopsida; Malpighiales; Euphorbiaceae.
GGGCAAUUCAGAUUCGAUUCAAGGCUUGAGCCCGCACAUGGACGGGCCUACUACAUAUGAUCUAGCACGCAUGAAGCUCGAUGUGCAGAGGCCUUUGCAUCACAUUUUCCCCAAAAUUUUACAAUCUUCUGUAAAUAGGACCCAAAUAUUGAAACAAUUAAAUAAAGAGGAAAACAACUAUGCAACUCUGCCAAGACACACAAAUCACUGCAACUCUGCCAAGAGGAUAAUUUUGACAGGUUUGCAAUGGUUUAUGUCCAAAUUUCCAACUGUCAAUUUUCCAAGGAAUCACUUCAGUUUCCUCAUAAUAGUAGAUCUUGUUAAGUAAAUUCCAGCCUGAUCUUGAACAUCAAACAACGAACCGAACAGGGAUUGCCUUCCCUAUAAAUUUGACAUAAGAAGUUCAUACAAAAGGUCAUUGAUGGCACUAGCUGAUUGUCAUUUGUUAAUUCCCGCUUUUUUUUGACAAUGAGAUGCAUCAGAUGGACUGAGAUUACAAACGCAACUGUGCACUGGGAUCAUUUAGAAAGGGCAGCCUUUAGUUUCUCCUUCAACUGCUCAGCGGCACCACUUUGCGUCUGGAUAGAGAAUGUGUGAAUAAUCUUAUCAUUCUCCGUUGUGGACACAUUACACUCUUGAACUGUAACUUGAUGUUCUCGGAAUGUUUCUAGGAUGCUAGAAACUGGGUGAGCAUCCAAAGGACAGCUCAGCCUCACUACAGCAUCAUCCUGUCUUGCCUGGAAAUCAAUCUCUGGCAAUGAAGGUUGCUUUCGCCUAUUGUUAGUCACCUCCUUCUCAGUUUCCAAAACUCUAAUCUUCAUCUGGAGAUCAGUGAUAUAAGUAAUAGCGUCACCAAGUAGAGAGGCCUUGUCCAUUUUAGAGAUAUUGGGGACAACAGCUCUUAAUGCAUAGAAUCUCUGAUUGAGCUUCUCCCUCCUCUGUCGCUCUGCUUCGACAUGAUUCAGUGGCUCUUCACGCCCAUUGGCAGGCUUUCUCCCUCUCUUCCUUGGUUUCCUCUCAUCUAGCUGAGGUGACAAGUCAUCCUUAGGCUGCUCCAAACCAGUAACCAUAGUUUCAGCAUUGAAACCUGAAAGAUUCAUUUGGUUCAACUGUGGAAAAAGUUUUGCUUCAUUGGGGUCGCCUGCACAGCCAUUAGAAGUACUUCCAUAAACUGGAUUAGUGCCUAUUGCUUCUGCAUAUGAUUCUGAAGCAAAAAUCAAAUCAUCUUCAACCUUAGGAGAAAAGUUAAUACUAAUUGAUCGGGAUUUUGUGCCACCAAGACUUAGUUCAUGGCCAAAAAUUUUUGGGCAUGCUCUUGCCUGAACAGCAUUUGAUGCCCCAAAUAUAGUUUUUGCCCUUUCCACAAGAUUGUGCUCUUCAGGAAUUGACUUGAUUGAACCAAGCUCCACAACUCCAGACUUGACAGGUAAAAACACUACUGUUUGGAGUCCAGCUGACCUUGCUAAAACUGAUCUCAAUUGAUACUGCUCUAAACAACUAAUCAUAUCUGAAGCCCAAAUUGAUCUACCAGACUUAUAUGACUCUGCAGGAGCAUAUGAUGAAUCACAGAGGAAAGUAAAAUACAUAGAAAUGAGGUAAAACAUUUCCAAAUCCGAAACCCUAUCCAAAUUUGCUGCAUAAUUAUCCCCAUCUAACACAUUAAAGCAAGCAUGCAGCUUUUGAAGCACAAUCUUCUUCACUUCCUCUCUUUUCUCAACUGCCUCAAAUUUGCUAUCCCCAAUAGAAUUCCCCUCUCCCGGCCCACCGCCCUUGGGAUUUCGACAAACCCCAUCACCCCAAAUCAAGAUGGACCCACCAGAUUUCAAGCUGGAUGCAUACCAGAAAAUUGCAUAAUUCCAAUUGGAACCAUCUACCAGCUGGCAUAGCCCCUGCUGCAAACCCAAAUUAUUUGGCGGCGAAACCAAAUCUGCCAAUACGUUGCUAGAAGCAGAUGCGAUCAGGAAUUCACAAGCCUCGAUACCUAAUACGGAUUCUACGAAAGCCUUUUCUUCAUUCACCCAAAAUUUCUCACCCAUGAUUCCCCUUUACACUAUUGUCUCACACGAACCCGAAAUUCCCAAAAACUGCACUUCACAAAAAUCCAAAUUUUCAGAACUGUAUCUUACACAAACAACGAAUUCUCACACUCUAAUUUCACAAAACCCAGCAAUCUAACUACGUCCAUUUCAUUAAACUCUCCAAAAACCACAGAUGAAUAAUCUAAUCUACCAGUCGAUUCACAAACUCACUACUAGAAUUCUACCCACGCUAUUAUAUUCAGCCCCUUAACAAAAUCACGUAAAACCCAACAAUUUUAACACACACAUAUUGCAAACUGAAUAGAAUUUCACGAAAUCAGGCUCAAGCAAUUAGAGAAAUAGAGAAAGAAUUAAGCUAAUCUUGCAGAGCAACUUGUCCAGUGACAGGCAGAGUCUGGCACAGUUACCCAAGAGAAGCAAAAGGAAAGCUUACCCGAGAUGAUUACGAUGUUGCGUGCUGGAUAAUAGAGGUUGAAGAUUGACGAAUUUGAAGCGUGUGAAAAAAUUAGGAAGGUUUUGGGAUGAGAUCUGAAGUGCAGGGUCUAGGGAUUGUAUAUUUGUGGUGGUACCGCCGUACCAGCGGUCCCGCUUGGCCACUUGGUAUUGAGUUUUGUUGCCUUUUCC